GGACAGUGGAAGUGAGGGAUCCAAAGCCAUGUAUCAGAUCAGUGAACAAGAUGAUUAGUACUCUGUGCUCCUGAUUUUCUGAUUCCUUAGCUUAUUCCCAUGUCAAAAUGCCUCUCAAAAUGCUCUCAGUGUUAAAGUAAGUUCAUUCAGUAGUUCAAGAUGGUUCCACUUAAAGAUGGAAGGGUUAGAAAAGCAAAAAGUAGAUGGGCACUACAAUGUGUGUUUUGCACAUGUGUUUUAAUAUUGGACAUUCUGCCGGAAUUUGUUUUAAUUUGUAUAUUCUGCUAUAAAUUUGACCCUGUACUGGGCAUGAUUAUUUUUUUUUAAUUUUUUUUUUUUAGUUGAAGAUGGACACAAUACCUUUAUUUAUUUGUAUGUGGUGCUGAGAAUCGAAUCCAGUGCCUCACACAUGCCAGGCAAACGCUCUACCACUGGGCCACAACCCCAGCCCCUGGGCAUGAUUAUUAUACAUCACAACUAAAGGAUGGUUGUGCUGUUUAUAAGCAUUUGCCAUGAAGGGUGCAUAGAAACCCGCAUUUUCAUGGAAGAAUAAAGAAAAGUGACUUUAUAUAAAAGCAGUUGUGUGUAGAAAGCUGAAAAGAAGAGUUGCUUGAGAAUAAGAAGCUGAGAAGGUAUUUUUCUGUAUACUGAUUCUCUUUUC
RNAcentral lists this long non-coding RNA (661 nucleotides) under Marmota monax (woodchuck). Lineage: Eukaryota; Metazoa; Chordata; Mammalia; Rodentia; Sciuridae. The record is from RNAcentral.